GUGGGUGGUGGGGAGCGGCUUAGGCUAAUCCACAUACCUAUUCUGAACCGCGAAGCUUCUCGGACAUGUUUGUUCCCUCAUCAAUUUUAUGCUUCUUCUUGUUUCUUUUCAGAUUUGUUCCUCUUAGAGAGCUCAUCCGUCGCGUUUGGAUGGUGUCUCAUCUUCAUUUCCUGGGCUCCUAAAGGGAUUACGAUAGAAUAUAUAUGUUCCUAUGUUGAAGGGAUUUAGGAUUAUCUUGUUGUUCCUUUUCUUAGUUAGUUUACCGCAUCCUCUUUGUAUAUAUACCAACAUUGGUUGAUGAAUAAACACACACUUUACCUUAUAUUUUAUGGUAUCAGAGCUAAAGAUCUCAUGACCUAAAUUUUUUUCCGAUCUCUACUAUUGAUCUUAUUCCUUACUACUUCUACUAAUCUGAUUCAUCAAUCAUAAUGUCGGAUC
This 438-nucleotide long non-coding RNA is filed under the name Brassica napus (rape). RNAcentral's name for it is "long non-coding RNA (BNAP_LNC015828)". The record is from RNAcentral. Lineage: Eukaryota; Viridiplantae; Streptophyta; Magnoliopsida; Brassicales; Brassicaceae.